RNAcentral lists this transfer RNA (85 nucleotides) under Actinomycetota bacterium. RNAcentral describes it as "tRNA-Leu". It matches the Rfam family "tRNA". Rfam says of the family: Transfer RNA (tRNA) molecules are approximately 80 nucleotides in length. Their secondary structure includes four short double-helical elements and three loops (D, anti-codon, and T loops). The record is from RNAcentral. Lineage: Bacteria; Bacillati; Actinomycetota.
GCCCGGGUGGCGGAAUGGCAGACGCGGACCGGCUUAAACCCGGCUGCUCCUCGUGAGCGUGUGGGUUCGAAUCCCACCCCGGGCA